RNAcentral lists this ribosomal RNA (429 nucleotides) under Pseudomonadota bacterium. RNAcentral describes it as "Proteobacteria bacterium partial 16S ribosomal RNA". It matches the Rfam family "Bacterial small subunit ribosomal RNA", at positions 355 to 776 of the family's 1533-position model. The record is from RNAcentral. Lineage: Bacteria; Pseudomonadati; Pseudomonadota.
UGGGGAAUAUUGGACAAUGGGCGAAAGCCUGAUCCAGCCAUGUCGCGUGUGUGAAGAAGGUCUUCGGAUUGUAAAGCACUUUAAGUUGGGAGGAAGGGCAGUAAGCGAAUACCUUGCUGUUUUGACGUUACCGACAGAAUAAGCACCGGCUAACUCUGUGCCAGCAGCCGCGGUAAUACAGAGGGUGCAAGCGUUAAUCGGAAUUACUGGGCGUAAAGCGCGCGUAGGUGGUUCGUUAAGUUGAAUGUGAAAGCCCCGGGCUCAACCUGGGAACUGCAUCCAAAACUGGCGAGCUAGAGUAGGGCAGAGGGUGGUGGAAUGUCCUGUGUAGCGGUGAAAUGCGUAGAUAUAGGAAGGAACACCAGUGGCGAAGGCGACCACCUGGGCUCAUACUGACACUGAGGUGCGAAAGCGUGGGGAGCAAACAGG